This 358-nucleotide long non-coding RNA is filed under the name Brassica napus (rape). Its description in RNAcentral is "long non-coding RNA (BNAP_LNC003776)". The record is from RNAcentral. Lineage: Eukaryota; Viridiplantae; Streptophyta; Magnoliopsida; Brassicales; Brassicaceae.
CAGUAUAGAUGGGUUUUUUGGGCUUUUAAAUCAAUACUGAAAAAUUACAUGAAUCAUAUAACAAUAUUUUUAUAAACAACUGGAUAAAAUUUGACCGAGCCAAAGAUUUUCACAUAAUAUGUUUUUUCUUCUUCAAAUUGCGAAGAGCCUAUAGGCACAAGAAAAAAAAAUCAUAAUUUUUGUUUUCACUUAUAUAACAUUUUUUCUCCUUUACACACGGAGUUUAUUACACUGCUAUAAGCAAUAUGUAGAACUCUAUUCAUAUAAGAUUCACAUCUACACUAUAUUUCUCUAUGAUUCAAAUCUUACAAAUUUAAUAUAUGUGCAGAUGUCCAUGUGAAAAAGCACGCACGCCAUC